This 319-nucleotide ribosomal RNA is filed under the name uncultured bacterium. Its description in RNAcentral is "bacterial SSU rRNA". It matches the Rfam family "Bacterial small subunit ribosomal RNA", at positions 335 to 639 of the family's 1533-position model. The record is from RNAcentral.
ACUCCUACGGGAGGCAGCAGUGGGGAAUAUUGCACAAUGGGCGCAAGCCUGAUGCAGCCAUGCCGCGUGUAUGAAGAAGGCCUUCGGGUUGUAAAGUACUUUCAGCAGUGAGGAAGGUGGAUAUGUUAAUAGUACAUACUCAUUUUGACUGUUAGCUUGCAGAAGAAGACACCGGCGUAACUCCGUGCCAGCAGCCGCGGUAAUACGGAGGGUGCGAGCGUUAAUCGGAAUUACUGGGCGUAAAGCGCAUGCAGGUGGCUUGUUAAGUCAGAUGUGAAAGCCCGGGGCUCAACCUCGGAAUUGCAUUUGAAACUGGCAA